GCAGCCGCGGUAAUUCCAGCUCCAGUAGUGUAUAUCAAAAUUGUUGCGGUUAAAACGCUCGUAGUUGGAUUACAAAAGCUCUUUGGCGGUUAAAUCAAGGUUUGAUCGCUGUGGGGUUUUUUUAUCGCGAGAGCCGCACGUGGGAUUAAAUUCUUGUGUGUGGUCACUUGCGAGGUGUGCCUUGAAUAAAGCACAGUGCUCAAAGCAGGCGUAAGCUUGAAUGUUAUAGCAUGGAACGAUUAUGUUGAUCUUGUCGACUGUUGGUUGUUGGCAGUGGUCUCGAUUAAAAGGGACAUUUGAGGGCGUUAGUACUUGGUGGCGAGGGGUGAAAUCCUUAGACCCAUCAAAGACUAACUAAUGCGAAAGCAUUCGCCAAGAGUGUUUUCAUUAAUCAAGAACGAAAGUUGGAGGUUCGAAGACGAUCAGAUACCGUCCUAGUUCCAUACAGUAAACUAUGCCAACAUGGGAUUAGCCCGGUUUAAUCCAGGUUGGGCCCUCAGUGAAAAUAAGUGUUUCGGUUCUGGGGAGAGUGCGCGCGCAAGUGCUAAAUUUAAAGAAAUUGACGGAAUGGCACCACCAGGAGUGGAGCCUGCGGCUUAAUUUGAUUCAACACGGGGAAACUCACCAGGUCCAGACAUUGGUAGGAUUGACAGACUGAGAGAUCUUUCAUGAUUUGAUGAUUGGUGGUGCAUGGCCGUUCUUAGUUGGUGGAGUGAUCUGUCAGGUUUAUUCCGGUAACGAGCGAGACCACGAUCUUUAAUUGAUUACGGUUGAAUUGUCUUGACCGAUCUUAAAGAGACCACCGGAGUGAAGCCGGGGGAAGCGUGGCAAUAACAGGUCUGUGAUGCCCUUCGAUGUUCUGGGCUGCACGUGUGCUACAAUGAUAGUGACAACAAGCUCCUGCCCUGAGAGGGGUGGGUAAUCUUGAAAAUCGCUGUCUUGCUUUGGACUGAGCCUUGUAAUAAUUGCUCACGAAAGAGGAAUUCCUCGUAAGCGCGAGUCAUCAGCUCGUGUUGAAUAAGUCUCUGCCCUUUGUACACACCGCCCGUCGCUACUACCGACUGGAUGUUGCUUCGAAAAGUUUGGACCUGCGGCGUCAUUUGGCGCUGCGGGGAAAAGCGUUGAGAUGUUUC
RNAcentral lists this ribosomal RNA (1133 nucleotides) under Kudoa neothunni. RNAcentral's name for it is "SSU rRNA". It matches the Rfam family "Eukaryotic small subunit ribosomal RNA", at positions 570 to 1770 of the family's 1831-position model. Lineage: Eukaryota; Metazoa; Cnidaria; Myxozoa; Multivalvulida; Kudoidae. The record is from RNAcentral.